This 1403-nucleotide ribosomal RNA is filed under the name Microbacterium sp. MCCC 1A09812. Its description in RNAcentral is "bacterial SSU rRNA". It matches the Rfam family "Bacterial small subunit ribosomal RNA". Lineage: Bacteria; Bacillati; Actinomycetota; Actinomycetes; Micrococcales; Microbacteriaceae. The record is from RNAcentral.
CCCCUUGGCCAAGUCGAACGGUGAAGCCAAGCUUGCUUGGUGGAUCAGUGGCGAACGGGUGAGUAACACGUGAGCAACCUGCCCUGAACUCUGGGAUAAGCGCUGGAAACGGCGUCUAAUACUGGAUAUGAGCUGCGGAGGCAUCUUCGUGGUUGGAAAGAUUUUUCGGUUUGGGAUGGGCUCGCGGCCUAUCAGCUUGUUGGUGAGGUAAUGGCUCACCAAGGCGUCGACGGGUAGCCGGCCUGAGAGGGUGACCGGCCACACUGGGACUGAGACACGGCCCAGACUCCUACGGGAGGCAGCAGUGGGGAAUAUUGCACAAUGGGCGGAAGCCUGAUGCAGCAACGCCGCGUGAGGGAUGACGGCCUUCGGGUUGUAAACCUCUUUUAGCAGGGAAGAAGCGAAAGUGACGGUACCUGCAGAAAAAGCGCCGGCUAACUACGUGCCAGCAGCCGCGGUAAUACGUAGGGCGCAAGCGUUAUCCGGAAUUAUUGGGCGUAAAGAGCUCGUAGGCGGUUUGUCGCGUCUGCUGUGAAAUCUGGGGGCUCAACCCCCAGCCUGCAGUGGGUACGGGCAGACUAGAGUGCGGUAGGGGAGAUUGGAAUUCCUGGUGUAGCGGUGGAAUGCGCAGAUAUCAGGAGGAACACCGAUGGCGAAGGCAGAUCUCUGGGCCGUAACUGACGCUGAGGAGCGAAAGGGUGGGGAGCAAACAGGCUUAGAUACCCUGGUAGUCCACCCCGUAAACGUUGGGAACUAGUUGUGGGGUCCAUUCCACGGAUUCCGUGACGCAGCUAACGCAUUAAGUUCCCCGCCUGGGGAGUACGGCCGCAAGGCUAAAACUCAAAGGAAUUGACGGGGACCCGCACAAGCGGCGGAGCAUGCGGAUUAAUUCGAUGCAACGCGAAGAACCUUACCAAGGCUUGACAUACACGAGAACGCUGCAGAAAUGUAGAACUCUUUGGACACUCGUGAACAGGUGGUGCAUGGUUGUCGUCAGCUCGUGUCGUGAGAUGUUGGGUUAAGUCCCGCAACGAGCGCAACCCUCGUUCUAUGUUGCCAGCACGUAAUGGUGGGAACUCAUGGGAUACUGCCGGGGUCAACUCGGAGGAAGGUGGGGAUGACGUCAAAUCAUCAUGCCCCUUAUGUCUUGGGCUUCACGCAUGCUACAAUGGCCGGUACAAAGGGCUGCAAUACCGCGAGGUGGAGCGAAUCCCAAAAAGCCGGUCCCAGUUCGGAUUGAGGUCUGCAACUCGACCUCAUGAAGUCGGAGUCGCUAGUAAUCGCAGAUCAGCAACGCUGCGGUGAAUACGUUCCCGGGUCUUGUACACACCGCCCGUCAAGUCAUGAAAGUCGGUAACACCUGAAGCCGGUGGCCCAAACCCUUGUGGAGGGGAGCCCCUUAC